AUCCUGGAAUGGGUUGCCAUUCCCUUCUCCAAGAGAUCUUCCCAACCCAGGGGUCAAACACAUUGCAGGCAGAUUCUUUACCAUCUGAGCCACCAGCGAAGCCCUUAACUUCUAGUUCAUUUCCUUAAAGAUGAAGCCUCCUGCCCUCGACAGUCUUUCCUGCUUUCCUUCUGCUCAUUUGAAAACAUGGUUGAAACAAAGCCAAUACUAGCUACAAAGACAAUACUCUAAGAGAACAGAUGAAGAAGUUGAAAGAAAACAGAGUCCCUCAAUGCUUCAAUGCCGGAAGGCAUGGACUGUUUUAUGAGAGAAAAAUAAACUUACUUAACCAAGCA
Molecule: long non-coding RNA, 335 nt
Organism: Bubalus bubalis (water buffalo)
Lineage: Eukaryota; Metazoa; Chordata; Mammalia; Artiodactyla; Bovidae
Exons: 2
Source: RefSeq, a predicted model, not a curated record